This is a long non-coding RNA of Homo sapiens (human), 5001 nucleotides long. RefSeq lists it as uncharacterized. Lineage: Eukaryota; Metazoa; Chordata; Mammalia; Primates; Hominidae. The record is from RefSeq and is a predicted model, not a curated record. The transcript is spliced from 3 exons.
GCGAGGGCGGAGCUGAGUUAUCCUCAGCACAGACCCCGAGAGCACCGCGAGGGUGGAGCUGAGUUCUCCUCUGCACAGACUUCGGAGAUACAGGGAAGGCAGAGCAGUGUUCUCCUCAGCACGGACCCGGUCGGGCGGGCCGGUGGCACCCCGAGGGCGGAGCUGCGUUCUGCUCAGCACAGACCUUGGGGGCACUGCCGCGCUUUGGGACAACUCGGGGCCGCAUCAACGUCAAAGAAGAUGGCCACGGAGACAGCAGCGUGGUCAGAGUGGUAGGAGCAGACCAUUGGAGAGAGCUGCUCCGUGCCUGGCUGCCGGGUGCUAGAGCCUGCAACCCACUGGCUUGCCUCACUGUGGUUGGUGGUGGCGGUGACAGAGACUGCAGCACGACCAGAGUGGCUUUUCUGGCUUUGCCCGCCCAGCUGCUCCAUGCCAGGAGGAGGAGGAGACACCUAUAGCCUGUGACACCACGACUUGCCUUGCCGCGGGUGGGUGGUAGCAAUGGAGACUGCAGUGCGCCAGAGCGGUAGGAGAGCGGCCACGCUAGGAGGGCAGGUGCCUGCAGCCAGGGUUGGGGGUCAGGCUUACAGCGAUGGAUGGGCUGCACCAGUAGCCAGGUGGUAGGAGCCUUGUAGGGAGGGCUGGUCCUUUGGCAGUGGGCCUGGCUUUGCCCUGCCCCUGCCAUGGAUCUGGCCCUAUACUGCCCUGCCUUGCCCUGUACUUGCCCUACUGUUACCUGGACUCUCAGCCCCGUCCUGCUCUGGUCCCAUCCUGACCCUGUCUUGGCCCUGUGCUACCCUGUCCCUGCCCUGGUCUUGCCCUGGCACUGGCCCUUCCCUGAACCUGCACUGGCCUGACCUUGACUCUGGCCCUGGCUCUGGCCCUGCCCCUUGUCCUGACCCUGGUCCUGUCAUGGCACUGGCCCUGCCAAUUGUCAUGGUCCCGCUCCUGUUCUGACCCUGACCUGGCCUUGGACAUGUCCUGGACCUGCUUUGGCCCAUCCCUGGCCUGGCCCCACCAUGGGCCUGCCUGUUCUGCCCUCUCCUGGCACUGACCUUGCCCUGUCAUGGCCCAGUGGUGCCAUUGCUCUGCCUUACCGUGCGCUGGUUGUGCCUUGGCCCCUCUUGGUGCUGGUCACUCCCUGGACCUGCCCUGACCCUACCUGGGCUUUUGCCCUGCCCUCACUAUGGCCUGGCCCUGGCCCUAGCCCUGGUCCUGCCAUAUCCCUGGCCGUGCUCUUAUCCAGGCCCUGCCCCUUCUGCUGCCCUGGCCCUGGCCUGGAACCUGGUCCUGUCAAGGACCUGCCCUGACUCUGCCAUGGCCCUGGCCCUGCUCUGCCUUGUUCCUAGCCCUGACCCAGACCCAGACCCUAUCCUGGCUCUGCACUGGCCUUUUCCUGGCCCUGAGCUGGCAGUGGUCUGCCCCUGGUCUUGCCAUCACCCUGCCUGCUGUGCUCUGGAUGUGUCGUCACCCUGCCCUGGCCCUACUCUGCCUUUGACCCUGCCCUGGCCUUACCUUGGCCCUCACCCUAGUCUUCACUAGGCCCUGCUCUGGAGCUGGCCCUAGCACAGACCUGGCCCUGACCCUGGCCCUGGUCUUUGUCCUGCCAUAGCCCUGGCCCUGAAGUGGACUUGGAGGUGUCCUGGCCCUGGUGUAACAUGGCUCUGCAUUGGCCUGUCCCUGCCCUGCCCCUACCAUCGCCUUGCCCUGCUCUGCCCUGUCCCAGUACUGACCCAGCCAUGCUAUUUCCCUGCCCUACCCUGCCUUGGCUGUUCCCUGGCUCGGUUCUGGCCCUGGCCCCGACCCUUCCCCGGAUAUGCUCUGACACUGCCUCAGCCUUGGCACUAGCCUGGCUCUUUCUUGGCAUCAGCCCUGCUCUCUCUGUGGACCGGCUCUUGUCCUGUCCUGCACUGGCCAUACCAUGUCCUGCCCUGCCCUGCCCUGACUCAGCCCUGGUUCAGCCCUGGCCCAGCCUUGGCCUUGGCAUUGCCCCUGGUCCUGCCAUAUUUCUUGCCCUGUCCCUACCCUGGUCUUGGCCCUGACCCUUACCUUGCUCUGGCCCUGCCCUUGCCCUAACACAGCCCCUGGCCCUGUCAUGGCCCUGCCCUGGACCUGUCCUGGUCCUGGCCCUUCCCUGCUUGAGACCUUGCCCUGGUUCUCCCCUGGCCCUGACCCUGAAAUGCCUGGCCCUACCCUGGCCUUGCACUGCUCUGGUCCUUGCCCUGACUCUGGUCCUGUCACUGGCCUAGCACCAGCCCUGUUGCUGGUCUUACCAUGGCCAUGACCCUGCCUUGGCCCUGUCUUGACACUGUCCUGGAUCCUGGCUGUGCCAAGAUCCUGCACUGUCCUUGCCGUUGUUUUGCUCCUGUCCCAAACCUGGUCCUGCCCAGGCCCUGGCCCUGGCUCUGGCCCUGGCCCUGCCCUGGCUGUUCCCUGGCCCUGCCCAGGUCUUGGCACUGGCCUGGCCCUGCCCUGCCUUGGCCCUAUGCUUUCCUGGCCCUGCCUUGCCGGCCCUGGCCCUGCCUUGGCCCUAGCCUGGCUUUGACCCUGCCCUGGCCCUACCUUGGCCUUCACCCUAGCCUUACCUGGGCACUGUGUUGGACCUGGCCAUAGCACAGACCUGGUUGUGGCCCUGGCCCUGCCAUGGCCCUGUCCCAGACCCUAGCCCUGCCAGGUACCUGCCCUGGCCCUGCUCUGGGCCUGGCUUUGUCCCUGGUUCUUAGAUGAACCUGGCCCUGCCCCUGCCCUUGUCCUUGCCCUGGCACUGGCCUUGGACAUGUCCGUGGUCCUAACCCUGGCCCUGCCCUGGAGCUGCCACUGUCUUGGCCCUGCCCUGGCUCUGGCCCUGCCCCAGCCCUGGCCCUGCCCCAGCCCCAGCCAUAGACCUGCCCUGGUUGGUUGUGUCCUACCUUAACCCUGUGCUACCCUGGGCCUGCUCCACCCUGCCCUGGCCCUGCCCUCCCUUUGGCCCUGCCCUCCCUUUGGCCCUGCCCUGACCCCACCUUGGCCCUCACACUGGCCCUAGCACAGACCUGGUCCUAUCUGUGGCAUUGGCCUGGCAUUGAGCCCUGCUCCUGACCCUGCUCCUGCCAUGGCCCUGGCCCUGCCAAUGACCCCGACAGCGCUGGCCCUGGACCUGUCUUGGUCCUGGCCCUGAACUGGCCCUGCCCUGACCCUGGCCCUGAAGUGGAUUUGCAGGUGUCUUGUCCCUGAUUUAACCUGGCCCUACCAUGGCCCUGUCCUGACCCUGUCCUGGCCCUAAUGUGGCCUGGCUCUACCCUGGCAUGCUAUUCAGGCCCUAGCCCUGACCCUGUCCCUGUCCCUGUCCCUGUCCUGGCCCUAGCCCCGUUGCUGGUCCUGCCAUGGCCCUUGUCCUGACAUUGCCCUUUCCUGGUCCUGGCCCUGGCCCUGUCCCAGCCCUGCUCUGGCUCUGGUCUGAACCCUGGCCCUGCAAUAGACCUGCCUUGGUCCUGCCCACACCCUGGCUCUGGCCCUACCUCUGCCCUGGCCAUACCCUUGCCCUGGCCUGGACCCCGGUCCUGGUCCUCGUCCUGCCCCAGCUGUGGCCCUGGUGCUGCCCUGCCUGUACCCUGUUCUAUCCUGGGCUGGCCCUGCCAUGGCCUGGUCUUGCCAUUGCCCUGCCCUAGCCUGCCCUGCUUGUGCCCUAGAUCUGCCCUGACCUUUGCGCCUGUCUUGGUUCUAGCCUUGAAAACAAAAAAAAAAGGAAAAGAAGCAUUUUGUAUUCUCUUUUAGAAAGGGUAGAUAACUGGAAAAGUAUUAAUAAUGAAAAUAACCGGAAAUUGGACUUAUAAAUUAUAAACCAUGUAAUUAUUAGUAUUUGAAAAUAUACUCAAAUGUUUCUCAGGUGUUACUCAGGUGUUUCUUUAUAGCAACACAAGAAUAGCCUAAUAUAGUAACCAUCACCCAAUCAAGAAAUAGGACAUCUUUGCCUCCUUUGGAAGUUCUACCCACCACCCCUUCAUCCUCCCCCAGGCUACCACUGUUAUAAUUUCUAUCAUUCUAGAAUUAGUUUUGGCUGUAUUUUUCUUUUUUUUUUCAAGAAAUAUUAACUGUUCUUAAUUUGAUAUUAUAUAUAAGCCAUACAAAAUGCCUUUUGAGAAGUUAAAAGAACCAUUAUAUUUUGAGAUGGGGUCUUACUCUGUCACACAGGCUGGGGUGCAAUGGCAGGAUCAUGGCUCACUGCAACCUUGACUCCUGGGCUCAAGCCGUCCUUCCACCUCAGCCUCCUGAGUAGCUACGACUACAGGAAUGCACCACCAUGCCUGGCUAUUUUUAAUUUUUGUACAGAUGAGGUCUCUCUAUGUGGUCCAACUUGUGGCCUCAAGCAAUCCUCCCACUUCAGCCCCAAAAAAGUACUGCGAUUACAGGCAUGAGCCACUAUGCCCAGCCAAGGAACCAUUUUACAUACAGAGAAUUCUAAUUAAAUUGACAUAGUUCAGACCAGAAAUAUAAAGUAGACAUUGUUACCUUAUGUUAAGUCUUUGCCUUUAAGAGGCACAUGAACACAGAACACAGAUGUGUCUUGCUUGGUUCUGAGACAGUGAAGACAUUUCCCCAGUAUUUAAAUAUAUUCAUAUAGCUAGUUAUAUAAAUCUAAAUAUAAAGCCAAUCUCUAAUAGGUUUUAAGAUGGCAUUCACCAUCUUUGUGAAAAGUUGAACACUACGAGUUAAGCCCAAUCAUAGUUUUAGAAGGGGGAAACAGUGAUAUCAUUUACUGAAUCAGAAUUACUAUUAAAAUUUUAAAAAACCCGGAUGUAUUCAUUUAACCACAAGCGAGUCUUAAUUAAAUCAGGACUGCUCAACAAAAAUAUUCUGUGAGUUAUUCAUGAUUUGAAUUCUGAUGUAUAUUAGAGAGCUAUUAAAUUAUGUACACAUAAAAAAGUCAUGUGGUCAAUUAUUACUCAUUAUUAGCUUUUCUGAGAUAAGCUAUCAAGUCUGCCCUUUCUGCCUUCUUCUUAGUGCUGGCAAUGGUCAUUUUUG